Limanda limanda (common dab) is the source of this 1088-nucleotide non-coding RNA. NCBI's taxonomy places the organism in Eukaryota, Metazoa, Chordata, Actinopteri, Pleuronectiformes, Pleuronectidae. The record is from the annotation of a RefSeq genome assembly.
CCAUCUCUCUGCUGGUACCAGACCAGACUGUUUGAAUUAUAAACCGUCUCACUGGUUCUACAGGAGAUGGUGACGGAGCCUCCCACAGCGGAUCUCACGGCUCCAGGCUGGGUCACUGUGACUUGUCCCCUGGACUCUGAGGACACAGAGACAGAAACAAGCAGCAGUGCGGGGGGUUGGUCAGCUUCAGGUCAGAGGCAGCGAGUCCACGGAGCAGUUUGAUGGAUCUGGACUUUACCUGAGAAGCAGCAGCAGAGCAGCGUCCAGACGAGGACGGAGGUGAAGCUCAUGGUUCUGAUGAGCAGGAGGUCUGAGGUCAUGAGGACGAGUCGUCCCGUCCUCACCUCCCGGGACUUUAACCUGUCCCAGAGCAGUGGAGCGUGGAGCUGAGGAUGCAAAGCGACUCUAUGGAAAUUAUCUGAUGAGGCUGUUCAUCAAUAAAUCAAUUAUUAAUCAGAGGACUGAUCAGGAGGUGUUAACAUUCUCAUCAUGCAGUUUGGAUUUGAUGUUUCAGGACGACUUCUCCUAUUUGAAUAUCUCACAAGCAGGAGUUCUGGUGCGAUUGUUUGUUUCACAGUGGAGAGUUGUGUCCUCAGAGGUUUUUGUACGACGGCUCAGUGAGUGUGUGUCACUGUGGUACACGUGUGGUGGAGGAACCAGACUGGACGUUGGAAGUGACGCCCGGCCCACCCUGACGGUGCUGCCCCCCCCCAGCGAGGAGCUGCAGCAGGGGACGGCCUCCCUCACGUGCCUGGCCAACCGGGGCUUCCCCUCGGACUGGCGUCUGUCCUGGAAGGUGGACGGCAGCAGCAGCAGCUGGGAGGAGAGCAGCGGCCCGGGGGUGGUGCAGAGCGACGGGAGCUACAGCUGGAGCAGCAGCCUGAGGCUCCCUGCUGAGCGCUGGAGGAAGGCCGGCUCCGUGACCUGCGAGGCGUCCCAGGGGUCCCAGUCCCCGCUGUCAGAGACCCUGAGGACAGACCAGUGUGCCCAGUCCUGACCUGGGACUCUGCUGCUGGUCUCAGUCUGGAUCUGAAUCCACUGGUGACUUCUUGCUUUGACUGUUCUGGUUCUUUGACCUGUUUCAGAUA